RNAcentral lists this long non-coding RNA (687 nucleotides) under Salmo salar (Atlantic salmon). RNAcentral describes it as "lncRNA (ENSSSAG00000085394.1)". The record is from RNAcentral. Lineage: Eukaryota; Metazoa; Chordata; Actinopteri; Salmoniformes; Salmonidae.
UUGAGCAAGGGAGUGCGUGUGUGGUGUAGAGUUAGAUAUUCAGAACUUUCUUCAUGAUUAAGGUUUUAUUAUUUUUAUUUGUUUGUUGUGGUAGAAUUAAGUAUUUUGUUUUCGUAUCGAAAUUACCUUGUUUUUGGCGGGGAUGGCAGCCCGAAUGGGGACACCGUCCCUGUCACUUCGGCACGGCUUCAGGUGUGUUACUGAAGCUACUGUCGCGGUGGAGGAGUUUCUGGUCGCCGUAGGAGAGAAGCCCUGGGAGGCAUCCAUCAGCGUAUUUUAAUGUACCUCUGGGGGUCGCUGCGGAACAGAGCGGAACGACGAGGCGACGGCCACCAAACAGCCAGUCAGACGAUCCCGCAGGUGAAGAAGCUGGAUGUGGAGAUCCUGGGUGGUUAUACCUGGUCUGCGGUUGUGAGGCCGGUUGGACGUACUGCCAAAUUCUCUAAAACGAAGUUGGAGGCGGCUUAUGGUAGAGAAAUUAACCUUCAAUUCUCUGGCAACAAUUCUGGUGGACAUUCCCGCAGUCAGCGUGCCAAUUGCACGCUCCCUCAAAAACUUGAGACAUCUGUGGCCAUUGUGUUGUUGUGACAAAACUGCACAUUUUAGAGCGGCCUUUUAUUGUCCCCCAGCACAAGGUGCACCUGUGUAAUGAUCAUGCUGUUUAAAGUACAAAAGGGAAAAUAAAAA